This 492-nucleotide ribosomal RNA is filed under the name uncultured bacterium. RNAcentral's name for it is "partial 16S ribosomal RNA". It matches the Rfam family "Bacterial small subunit ribosomal RNA", at positions 29 to 507 of the family's 1533-position model. The record is from RNAcentral.
AGUGAACGCUGGCGGCAGGCCUAACACAUGCAAGUCGAACGACAGCACCGUAACUGCUUGCUCUUACGUGUGGCGCGCGGGGGACGGUUCCCGUAGACAUCGGAACCUACUCUUUCGUGGGGGCUAAUGUAGGGUAAUUUACGCUAAUAAAGCAUACGUCCUACGGGUGUAUGCAGGGGAUCUUUUGACUUUGCGCUAUUGUAUGAGCCGAUGUCUGAUUAGCUAGUUGGCGGGGUAAAGGCCCACCAAGGCGACGAUGCGUAGCGGGUCUGAGAGGGUGAUCAGCCACACUGGAACUGAGACACGGUCCAGACUCCUACGGGAGGCAGCAGUGGGGAAUAUUGGACAAAGGGCGAAAGCCUGAUCCAGCCAUACCGCGUGAGUGAUGAAGGCCUUCGGGUGGUAAAGCCCUGUUGUUGGGAAAGAAAAACAGCAGUUUUAUACCGCGCUGUUCUGACGGUACCCAAAGAAUAAGCACCGGCUAACUUCGUG